Long non-coding RNA from Culex pipiens pallens (northern house mosquito), 5379 nucleotides. RefSeq lists it as uncharacterized. Lineage: Eukaryota; Metazoa; Arthropoda; Insecta; Diptera; Culicidae. The record is from RefSeq and is a predicted model, not a curated record. The transcript has 4 exons.
AGCAAAAAUUAAAAAAAAACCAUUAAGAAGAAACAAAACUGCAUUUUGCACUUAUUAAAGUGAUCAGUCUGCAUUUGACUAUUUUGAAGUUUUCUUUAACUACACGUCAAUCAGCAGUUGGCAUCGAAUUGGGUCCUAUAAUUGGGUCCUAAAAUGAAGCUUAGAUUGCUGAUAUUAUUGUUUACAACGAUAAAGCUUAUUUUUUUGAGUACAAUAACCCUUUUGUACGACCACAAAGAGUUUAAAAUGGAUUUUUAAAUCAAUUUUGAAAAAUUAACCUCGCGGUCCUUCUUGACAGAAAAGGUCCUACUUGACAGCUCGUUCCAAGGGGACCAUAGUUGAUCCAUCGAAAAAAUGUUGUCUUGUCAAUAACUUUUUUUGCAUAAAAAUGAAAAAAGUGAUCAGAAAUGGUUUUUAAUCGUGUUUUUUACCGUUGUACUUUAAAAUUUACAUAGGGCUUUAGUACCCAAUUAAGCUUAAAUUGCUGAUAUUAUUGUUAAUAAGGAUAAAGUUUAUUUUUAUCAUUUGAAUGACAUUUUGAAAGAUGACAUUAUACCCUAUGUGAUUUAAGUGGAGCACCGGAUUCGAGUGGCAGAAAUGACUGUUCUCCCAUAAGGAAUACAUUGUAAAAAACAAAAAACUUUUCGAAUGGAAGUGUUCCAUAAGUAAUUUUUUUUUGAUUUUUGGGUGGUUGAUAGUGCCUUGAGUCAGGGGUUUUUAAAUACACCCGAGAAGCAAAAUAAAUUAAAUUUUGUUUAUUAGAUCUUAAAAAAGACUUUUGUUGUUUUAUAAUUUGUGCGUUUAUUUAUGACGAAAACCUGUUAGUUCACAACUUUUUUAUCAAGUCAAGGAAAGUUGCUUUGACUUUUAGCGUUGAUUAAAAAAAUUCAUGGUUUUCAAAUGAAGAAAACGUUUUGUUGAUUCAAAUAUGCCUUAAUUUUCUGCGUGAACGAACUUUUGGACCAUAUUCAGCGUGUUAGGUUUUAUACCAUUUUCAAUAAGGUAAUAUUGUUUAACAGUGUAAGAUUUUAGCCGAUUUAAGCUCAAACCCUCGCAUCGUGUAUAUAUUUAUGUAUUUGUUUUGAUUUUGUUCGCCUGCUGCGAUCGCGCAAUUUUUUCGUCUUUCAACAACAAAAUAGUUUGCCUGAAGUGAGCCACGUCUUUUUAGUUGCCAGCAAGAUAAUUUCAUGCCGGAUGUCGUCAUCGGAUGCAGAUGCUGGUUAGCAGGAGAACCGGCUUUCACCUCGUCGGAAUUAUUGCCGUAGCUGGUGCUGUCGUUAUUGUUAGCUGAAUUCAAUUUCUAGGAUUUGAAGCACCACGCGCUGUUCGGCUGGAGCCCUAAUUCCAUCUGUUUUAUCGCACGCCACGGGCCAUUCUGACCAGGCCUUGAGCCGCAACCAGCGAGAGUCCUAAGCUUAGCUUCAAGUACCGAAGCUGAAAUGGCAGCCGGAAGAAAAUACCAUGAAACGAGGAUUUCCGCUAGUAAUAACCUGGAUUGGGAAAUUGCCGUUGGUGCGAGGGAAAUGUUAUUGUUGCAGUUCUCUUGUGGGUUACGUUCGCUGUAUUUCCCGGCAGUGUGUCCAGGAAUAGCACCGCCAAUUUGUCGCAAAUAGUAAACGCCGCAAGCCAGAGUUUUUGUUCGACGGUUCUGCGCCUUCACCGUUGGUGACUAAAAUUGUUUGCUGCCAAGACCAACCGAAUGCAGCAGAAUCGACAAACAGCCAAGAAAAGACAUCAAACAAACGGGACCUUCGACUGUGACCUGCAGCCUGCACGAAGCUGUAGCAGUUUAUCAGUUCGAUAGCAAAGCGGACUUCAUCUUGGUGACCACGAGCGAGUGCGUGAUUCCCGAGAUGAUCAACGCGAGCGGUAGGUUCGCGUGAGGAUGUUUUCAAGCAAGCAUAAUUGACCAUACAGGUGAGCUCCCAAAAUGUAGGCAACUUCCUCUGGUCAGCGACAAGAUCACCGUCAAGCUGAUCUUCGCUCAUUUUCACUCGGUCAGUCGAUGACGUAUUAAGUCAAAAUGUUCAGCAUUUUUGUAUUACCCAAUCUCACCCCAGACCUAAUGUCACCCCUGAUGACGGUAUACAAAACCUAUUCACAAUUGACUCUAUAAAUAUAUUAAAUAGGAAAGGUUUCGCGCUGUUUCCGCAAAUUUGCAGUUACCAACUAGAUUUCGAGUGGAAACAUUCGCUGAACCAGCGGAUUUUUCGCCGAAACCAGUAGAAUAAUCUCCUGGUUGGUUUUGGUACGAGCUGCUGCCGCCGGAAAAAAAAACCCGGACGUCAGCGAUAGAAAACGCUGAUCCAGCGUAAAAGAACACCAGUUCAGUGAAAAAAUCCGCUGGACCAGCGAAUUGUUUCCCAAAACCAGCACAAUAAUCUACUGGUUGAUUUUGGUACGAGCUGCUGCCGCCGGAAAAAAAACCCGGACGUCAGCGAUAUAAAACGCUGAUCCAGCGUAAAAGAACACUGGUCCAGUGAAGAAAUCCGCUGGACCAGCGAAUUGUUUCCCAAAACCAGUACAAUAAUCUCCUGGUUGAUUUUGGUGCCCUGCCGCUUUUUCCAAACCAGCGAGAAAAUUUUCUGAUUCUAGCAAAACUGAUCCCCCAAACAGCGACAUUUUUUACCAAACCAGUGUUUUUUUUUCACUGGUUUGGUAGAAUUUCAUCGGUUUCCAAACCAGCGAAAAAAAUUAGCGAUUCUAGGUCAUUUUUGUGCAGGCUGAGAAAUUAGCGACAUUUUUCGCUAGUUUUAGCGAACUUUAUCGCGAUUUGGCGAUGGAUCCCCUUUCCGUGAAAUAAAGACAGCUAUUAAAGCAAAAAAAUAAUUGCAUGACGUUUUGGGUGACUUCGGUUGAAACAGGUACAGAACAAAACAAUUUGUACUUCCAAAUGUAUUGCUCUAAAAUCUCCUGUACCUAUUUAGACUGUAAUUCUGGACUGGUAUCUUAUUAUUUAUUGUCGUUUUUUUGUUUUUCAGAUACAAAAUAAAUUUUUUAAGCUGUUUUAGUCAUGUCAUAUGAAAAUAUAUAUAAAAGAAAAAAAAUAUAAAAGAAUUCCAGAGUUUUUUUGAAUAGGUCCUAUAAACAUAUGGAAGACAAAAGCUUAUUGGACCUUUUAAAAAAAAAACUCAAGAAUUAUGUAAUUUGAUUCGCAAAUCAAAAAAAAAAUCAUCAUACUGGAAUUAAAAAUAGUAGUUGAUAUAAAAUCCUAAACACCACAAAGACAAAAAAAAAUCUUUUAGGCUAUUUUAAAACUGUCGUCUUUGUUUAGAUUGAAGUGAGGAUUAUAACCAUUUGAUAUUAUUAAGCUAAUUCUAUGAUUUUAAGCUUGAAAACAUAACAAAAAUAUAAUGAAACAUAAAUUUUAUUACUGAUUAACAAAUUUCCCGGGAUCCCGGGAAUUCCCGGGAUUCCAAAAAUAUUUUUCCCGUUUCCCGGGAAAAUUGGACGCCCUAGACUGCAAAACCAGACGAAGGUGGGGAAUAAACUUUUUCUUGGUUUUUUUGCAUUCUAGAUUGCUGCAACCCUUGCCAGCUGCGACCUCUAGCUGCGAUGUCUAGUGUGAGCAGCUCGAUUACGCCAGGCAGUGCACCCACUGUUGCGCUCCGAUUCAAAUGUUACAGCCAAGGGUCUGCCAACAUCGUUUGGCAACUUCUCUUCAUCAUCGAAGAUGCCAACGGCCGGUAACACCAUGUCAACGCAGUCCUCGCCAGGUCCAACCACGAUGAGCCUCCAAUGCCAACAUCACUGCUUCAAGCGUUCAGUAAGCAAGCUACUUUCGCCCCCGGUGUCGAUGACCGCGGUGGCUCAACCUUCACACCAACUUAACCGGCUCUGAUCAGAUCAGACUGCUAAAAACCGCGCUCACUUCUUCCGCGGCAGUGAUAAUAUCAACCAGCUGCGCCGGUCCAACCGACAGCGGAAUACCAACUACAAUCGCUUCUUUCUCUUUAGCGGCAACAGCCAAGCUAUCACCAACAAGCUGCAGUACAAGAUCAACAACAACCUUCAGGCACAUUCAUACCCGCUGUUUAACGGCGUGGCACCCAGAAUCAUCACCGUGGUCACCUUGUUACCGGUGUGGUUGGUGGAGGGCAGAACAACCACUAUCAGCCAUCGCAAGUCCGAGACGCGGACGAAAGAGGUCGGGUUCACGAACACAUACCCGACGGAUCACAUGGCGUUGCUGGAGCAUUUUUGAUCGACGAACGAACCGCUGCAGGUAGGAUGAAUUAGAUGUUAGGUUUAGAUUCAUGAGUUGAACGUUUGUUUUUUUCUCCUCUCAGGGGGAUGCCUUGAAGGAAUCAGGUUACCGAGGAAAUGCCGAAUCAUCGCCGAUCAGCUCCAAAGCAUCAAGCAACCCGACGACAACACCUUCCGGAAGUUCGCAUACCAGUCUGCAGCAGCAGCAGCAACAACAAUAACAGCAGUCUUCUCUCGCAUCCAAUGGGGGAGUCAACAGCCUAGCGGGCUCGACGUAUGCAACACCUCGUCCCAGAUUCGAUCAAUUAGAUAAAACAACUCUGAAGACUAUGAUAGUAUGAUGAACUCGCACAAUCAUCACCACCGAAGAUGGGAAGUUCGCGGCGCCACCACCGUCAAUGUUCGACGCGUUGGCAUCUCGAAAUCAGCACGUAUUCAGCUUUGGUUCUGAUCUGCUUCAGUCGUCCUACCAAAGUCACAUGCGGAACAUGCGGAAGUGGCCGCGGGAGACAAUUUGAUUGACCCUGGCGAUUCCACCAUCGCAGAACCAUCAAUUGGCAGCGUCGAGAAGCAAGCUAUCCUCGUCGAACCAGUUCAGUAUCAUCCCGGACCGAUCGGAAAGUACCAGAAUCUACUGAGCGAACUUUCGCUGGGCAGUACCAACGCUGGCGCCGAGUUGACCUGGAGGACGCGGGAUCUUCGUCAGUUGCUACAGCAGAUGCCCGUAAUUCAUUCCGGGGAGGAGUUGGGCGUGAUUGGAAGAGGAUUGGAUGGCUUGGCGGAACCGAAGACUCCGGAGAAGCUUUUUCAUGUUGAUCGAAAGGAUUUUUGGAGAUACGACGCGGCUGGUGAUCUCCACGUCGCACCAGGAUUCGAGUACGAGUUGAAGAGGGGCCCGGAUGGCGUAGAUCGGCCACGCUACCAGCACCACCACCGGAACCACCCCGGGUGACCGCGUCAAUCCUAAUCAACAGUACAAAUUGCUCCUCUUUAAUCGCUCGACUGUUCUUUCAGCAGACAGGCAGCUCGUCUUCCGCGAAAAAAGGAGAGCGGCGGAAUUAACAAGGUCAACUUAAUUAUCUUCCAGAAAAUCCCCUGUAUGGACAAACUCGAUGAAAAGUCCCGAAAGAAGCCACCGUUGAACAACCCGCUGAUUGUGGUUCCAAGCGGGAA